AAAGUCGUAACAAGGUUUCCGUAGGUGAACCUGCGGAAGGAUCAUUAUUGAAUUUUAAUGAGGAGUUUGGUUGUAGCUGGCCUAUUCAUUUGGGCAUGUGCACACCUUUCUCUUUCAUCCCCCACACACACCUGUGAACCUGUGAGACAGAUGGGAAAUUUAUUUGUUGCUUUUUGAAAUACAAAGGCAAUGAGUUAUUGGACCCUCUGUCUACUCAAUUAACAUAAACUCAAUUUAUUUUAAAAUGAAUGUAAUGGAUGUAACACAUCUAAUACUAAGUUUCAACAACGGAUCUCUUGGCUCUC
Molecule: unclassified non-coding RNA, 305 nt
Filed under: Basidiomycota sp.
Lineage: Eukaryota; Fungi; Basidiomycota
Description: partial contains small subunit ribosomal RNA, internal transcribed spacer 1, and 5.8S ribosomal RNA
Rfam family: Eukaryotic small subunit ribosomal RNA (bases 1-47)
Source: RNAcentral